Molecule: ribosomal RNA, 426 nt
Filed under: uncultured Spirochaeta sp.
Lineage: Bacteria; Pseudomonadati; Spirochaetota; Spirochaetia; Spirochaetales; Spirochaetaceae
Description: bacterial SSU rRNA
Rfam family: Bacterial small subunit ribosomal RNA
Source: RNAcentral
CGAUGGUGCGCGAGGAACCUACCAGGGCUUGACAUGCGCCGGAGCGCACCGAAAGGUGCGUGCCGCUUGCGGCCGGCGCACAGGUGCUGCAUGGCUGUCGUCAGCUCGUGCUGUGAAGUGUUGGGUUAAGUCCCGCAACGAGCGCAACCCCUGCUGCCUGUUGCCACCACGAGAGGUGGGGACUCAGGCGGGACCGCCGGUGACAACCGGAGGAAGGUGGGGACAACGUCAAGUCAUCAUGGCCCUUAUGUCCUGGGCUACACACGUGCUACAAUGGCCGGUACAGAGCGCAGCGAGGCCGCGAGGCGGAGCGAAUCGCUUAAAGCCGGUCCCAGUACGGAUUGGAGUCUGCAACCCGACUCCAUGAAGUUGGAAUCGCUAGUAAUCGUGAAUCAGAAUGUCACGGUGAAUACGUUCCCGGGCCUU